AUGGGUGUAGCUCAAAUUGGUAGAGCGCCGGCCUCCAAAGCCGGAUGUUGCGGGUUCGAUUCCUGCCGCCCAUG
RNAcentral lists this transfer RNA (74 nucleotides) under Cryptosporangium aurantiacum. It matches the Rfam family "tRNA". From Rfam's summary of the family: Transfer RNA (tRNA) molecules are approximately 80 nucleotides in length. Their secondary structure includes four short double-helical elements and three loops (D, anti-codon, and T loops). The record is from Rfam by way of RNAcentral. Lineage: Bacteria; Bacillati; Actinomycetota; Actinomycetes; Cryptosporangiales; Cryptosporangiaceae.